Molecule: transfer RNA, 74 nt
Filed under: Nitrososphaerota archaeon
Lineage: Archaea; Thermoproteati; Nitrososphaerota
Also listed under: 2 other names
Description: tRNA-Trp
Rfam family: tRNA
About the family: Transfer RNA (tRNA) molecules are approximately 80 nucleotides in length. Their secondary structure includes four short double-helical elements and three loops (D, anti-codon, and T loops).
Source: RNAcentral
GGGGACGUGGUCUAACACGGCAGGACGACAGGCUCCAGACCUGUUGGUUGUGGGUUCAAAUCCCACCGUCCCCA